AUGAACGCUGGCGGCGUGCCUAAUACAUGCAAGUCGAGCGAACAGACGAGGAGCUUGCUCCUCUGACGUUAGCGGCGGACGGGUGAGUAACACGUGGAUAACCUACCUAUAAGACUGGGAUAACUUCGGGAAACCGGAGCUAAUACCGGAUAAUAUAUUGAACCGCAUGGUUCAAUAGUGAAAGACGGUUUUGCUGUCACUUAUAGAUGGAUCCGCGCCGCAUUAGCUAGUUGGUAAGGUAACGGCUUACCAAGGCAACGAUGCGUAGCCGACCUGAGAGGGUGAUCGGCCACACUGGAACUGAGACACGGUCCAGACUCCUACGGGAGGCAGCAGUAGGGAAUCUUCCGCAAUGGGCGAAAGCUUGACGGAGCAACGCCGCGUGAGUGAUGAAGGUCUUCGGAUCGUAAAACGCUGUUAUUAGGGAAGAACAAAUGUGUAAGUAACUAUGCACGUCUUGACGGUACCUAAUCAGAAAGCCACGGCUAACUACGUG
This 496-nucleotide ribosomal RNA is filed under the name uncultured bacterium. Its description in RNAcentral is "partial 16S ribosomal RNA". It matches the Rfam family "Bacterial small subunit ribosomal RNA", at positions 29 to 507 of the family's 1533-position model. The record is from RNAcentral.